RNAcentral lists this transfer RNA (88 nucleotides) under Planctomycetota bacterium. RNAcentral describes it as "tRNA-Leu". It matches the Rfam family "tRNA". Rfam says of the family: Transfer RNA (tRNA) molecules are approximately 80 nucleotides in length. Their secondary structure includes four short double-helical elements and three loops (D, anti-codon, and T loops). Lineage: Bacteria; Pseudomonadati; Planctomycetota. The record is from RNAcentral.
GCUGGAGUGGCGAAAUCGGCAGACGCAUCGGACUUAAAAUCCGAAGGGUGGUAAUCCCCCCGUACGGGUUCAAGUCCCGUCUCCAGCA